Molecule: long non-coding RNA, 1325 nt
Filed under: Medicago truncatula (barrel medic)
Lineage: Eukaryota; Viridiplantae; Streptophyta; Magnoliopsida; Fabales; Fabaceae
Description: lncRNA gene27382
Source: RNAcentral
CCGGCAUCGUGUCCUAUUGAUGUCCUAUUGAUGAUUCAAACUUCAGCAACAGUGGCUAAGAACUCACUUCAGUAACAAUCUUCCGGUGCUAUUCUACAGCAGCUUUGACCAUCAAACUUACUUUUCGGCUGAGAAUGCACAAGGGAUCGUAUAAAGAAAAUAACUAAUUUACAUGCCAACCAAGUUAUAUUAAACACCUCAAAAUUUUGCCUAGUCCAAGAAAUUCUUGAGGCAGCCGAUAUAACUAGUCUCUGCAAUCUUCCAAUGUCUCUCCAAAUCAGCUUGAUAGUUUAGACUUGGGAAAUAGUAUAGCAUAACCCCAUGACUGCAUCCUAGCCAAGGAACGGCUUUCACCUUUUCAAGACCAACCAUAUACUCUCCUAAAACCAUGAUGUGCAAACUAGAUUUGAGCAAAGAGCAUUUCAUUCCAUGUAUCAGGAACACCAGGCAAACACCAGUGUAAGCAAUCCUGCACACCAGGCUUUGCUGUUAAGCUGUACCGUGAUAUAUGACCCUCAUCCCUCAGCUGAGAAGGACCUGUUAUGUCCAAAAGUUUGACCCUUGUUCCCUUAACCGCACUUGCAGCAACUUGAUCACUGGACUCCUCGUCCAGUAAUUCUUUUCCAACCGACAUUGGUUUAGUGUUGUCACAACUGCCUCCUGUGUUCCAUUCCCCACCAAAAAAAUGUCUAGGAGAAAUGGUACGAUAAAAUGCUUUCAAACCUGGAUAUUUUGGAAGCUGUGAAUCCACCCAACUAACAACGCUACGAAUUGUAAGAUUCUUGGCAGCCCAAAUCACAGCUAUCUUCCUAUCAGUAUUUGGGACACCACCAACAUGCAUUACCCAUCGAUUGGCAUUAAGUUUCCCUCGAUUCCAGUGAUGACCAGUGUUGAGAACCAGGACAUCAAACUUGUGUAUAAAUUGACGCAGGAAUGCUGGGGGCCGAUCAAGGUGCAUUGCAUAAUCUGUAUCUGGGUUGUUUACAUCAAUAGGUUCAACAUCACAUAAGCUUGCCGACCAGUAGUACAAAAUGGUAGUAUUAGUCCUUGAAAAACGAUAUGCCCAUCCAUUAGGACGGGCAGAGCCCUCGGCUACAAUCAAACCAUAUUCCUUACCCACAUCUUCAACAUCAUUUGUCUCCUCACCACCAGUUACCAUGCACAUUAAAGACUGGUACUGCUGCCGACCUAAUGAGUCUCCCACAAAAGCUAGAGUUUUGUUUUGCAUCCUGAAUAUACCAAGAUUAACAAUUAGAAUAGGUUUAUAGUUUUUUUCCAGUUGAACCAAAACAUGUAGGCUAAAAUAAUAAUAAACAGUUGAACCA